This 1687-nucleotide ribosomal RNA is filed under the name Escherichia coli. RNAcentral's name for it is "partial 23S ribosomal RNA". It matches the Rfam family "Bacterial large subunit ribosomal RNA", at positions 1260 to 2925 of the family's 2925-position model. The record is from RNAcentral. RNAcentral also lists the same sequence under 1 other name. Lineage: Bacteria; Pseudomonadati; Pseudomonadota; Gammaproteobacteria; Enterobacterales; Enterobacteriaceae.
CCUGUGAGGGUUGCUGGAGGUAUCAGAAGUGCGAAUGCUGACAUAAGUAACGAUAAAGCGGGUGAAAAGCCCGCUCGCCGGAAGACCAAGGGUUCCUGUCCAACGUUAAUCGGGGCAGGGUGAGUCGACCCCUAAGGCGAGGCCGAAAGGCGUAGUCGAUGGGAAACAGGUUAAUAUUCCUGUACUUGGUGUUACUGCGAAGGGGGGACGGAGAAGGCUAUGUUGGCCGGGCGACGGUUGUCCCGGUUUAAGCGUGUAGGCUGGUUUUCCAGGCAAAUCCGGAAAAUCAAGGCUGAGGCGUGAUGACGAGGCACUACGGUGCUGAAGCGACAAAUGCCCUGCUUCCAGGAAAAGCCUCUAAGCAUCAGGUAACAUCAAAUCGUACCCCAAACCGACACAGGUGGUCAGGUAGAGAAUACCAAGGCGCUUGAGAGAACUCGGGUGAAGGAACUAGGCAAAAUGGUGCCGUAACUUCGGGAGAAGGCACGCUGAUAUGUAGGUGAAGCGACUUGCUCGUGGAGCUGAAAUCAGUCGAAGAUACCAGCUGGCUGCAACUGUUUAUUAAAAACACAGCACUGUGCAAACACGAAAGUGGACGUAUACGGUGUGACGCCUGCCCGGUGCCGGAAGGUUAAUUGAUGGGGUUAGCGGUAACGCGAAGCUCUUGAUCGAAGCCCCGGUAAACGGCGGCCGUAACUAUAACGGUCCUAAGGUAGCGAAAUUCCUUGUCGGGUAAGUUCCGACCUGCACGAAUGGCGUAAUGAUGGCCAGGCUGUCUCCACCCGAGACUCAGUGAAAUUGAACUCGCUGUGAAGAUGCAGUGUACCCGCGGCAAGACGGAAAGACCCCGUGAACCUUUACUAUAGCUUGACACUGAACAUUGAGCCUUGAUGUGUAGGAUAGGUGGGAGGCUUUGAAGUGUGGACGCCAGUCUGCAUGGAGCCGACCUUGAAAUACCACCCUUUAAUGUUUGAUGUUCUAACGUGGGCCCCUUACCGGGGUUGCGGACAGUGUCUGGUGGGUAGUUUGACUGGGGCGGUCUCCUCCUAAAGAGUAACGGAGGAGCACGAAGGUUGGCUAAUCCUGGUCGGACAUCAGGAGGUUAGUGCAAUGGCAUAAGCCAGCUUGACUGCGAGCGUGACGGCGCGAGCAGGUGCGAAAGCAGGUCAUAGUGAUCCGGUGGUUCUGAAUGGAAGGGCCAUCGCUCAACGGAUAAAAGGUACUCCGGGGAUAACAGGCUGAUACCGCCCAAGAGUUCAUAUCGACGGCGGUGUUUGGCACCUCGAUGUCGGCUCAUCACAUCCUGGGGCUGAAGUAGGUCCCAAGGGUAUGGCUGUUCGCCAUUUAAAGUGGUACGCGAGCUGGGUUUAGAACGUCGUGAGACAGUUCGGUCCCUAUCUGCCGUGGGCGCUGGAGAACUGAGGGGGGCUGCUCCUAGUACGAGAGGACCGGAGUGGACGCAUCACUGGUGUUCGGGUUGUCAUGCCAAUGGCACUGCCCGGUAGCUAAAUGCGGAAGAGAUAAGUGCUGAAAGCAUCUAAGCACGAAACUUGCCCCGAGAUGAGUUCUCCCUGACUCCUUGAGAGUCCUGAAGGAACGUUGAAGACGACGACGUUGAUAGGCCGGGUGUGUAAGCGCAGCGAUGCGUUGAGCUAACCGGUACUAAUGAACCGUGAGGCUUAACCUU